ACCUGGUGGCUCAGUUGGUAGAGCCUGUGACUCCUGAUCUUGGGGUUGUGAGUUCGAGCCCCACACUGGGUA
Molecule: transfer RNA, 72 nt
Filed under: Felis catus (domestic cat)
Lineage: Eukaryota; Metazoa; Chordata; Mammalia; Carnivora; Felidae
Rfam family: tRNA
About the family: Transfer RNA (tRNA) molecules are approximately 80 nucleotides in length. Their secondary structure includes four short double-helical elements and three loops (D, anti-codon, and T loops). Further hydrogen bonds mediate the characteristic L-shaped molecular structure. tRNAs have two regions of fundamental functional importance: the anti-codon, which is responsible for specific mRNA codon recognition, and the 3' end, to which the tRNAs corresponding amino acid is attached (by aminoacyl-tRNA synthetases). tRNAs cope with the degeneracy of the genetic code in two manners: having more than one tRNA (with a specific anti-codon) for a particular amino acid; and 'wobble' base-pairing, i.e. permitting non-standard base-pairing at the 3rd anti-codon position.
Source: Rfam by way of RNAcentral